Molecule: ribosomal RNA, 334 nt
Filed under: uncultured eukaryote
Lineage: Eukaryota
Description: partial 18S ribosomal RNA
Rfam family: Eukaryotic small subunit ribosomal RNA
Source: RNAcentral
CCCUUAGAUGUCCGGGGCCGCACGCGCGCUACACUGAAGGAAUCAGCGUGGCUUUCUCCCUGACCCGAAAGGGUUGGGAAACCCGUUGAAUCUCCUUCGUGAUAGGGAUUGGGGCUUGAAAUUGUUCCCCAUGAACGAGGAAUUCCCAGUAAGCGCGCGUCAUAAGCUCGCGUUGAUUACGUCCCUGCCCUUUGUACACACCGCCCGUCGCUACUACCGAUUGAACGGUUUAGUGAGGGCCUCGGAUUGGUCUCGGCCCGCUCUUUACCGGGCGGCGCCGUUGGUCGAGAAGACGCUCGAACUUGAUCGUUUAGAGGAAGUAAAAGUCGUAACA